GCUUGUCUCCAGCCUGAAGGCUCCCUGGCCCUGGGCUCAGGCAGAAAUGGCUCCUCCUCCCCUCCUGGCUGCUGUCUGUCUUCAGUUCAGCCUGCCUCUCCCUCCUGAUUGCUCUGGCUGAAGCAAGAAGCCAUGAAGAUGGCUCUGUAGCUGCAAGUUGCAUCAGGUUGCCUCUGGGAGAAAGAGAGAAAGCAGACCCGGCUUAUGCAACUCUCUCUCCCCAUACACUGAAUCUCUGAAGUUCCUGGCCAACCCCCUCAGCUUCCCACCAGAGUUUGCCAAGGCUUGGCUUGGCAGGAACAAGGCCCAAAGAGCUACACAGAGCAUCUCCCAGACAGUGGCCACUGAGAACCAUCUCCUGUCAAGGUGGGUAACAGAGAAAUUUCUGGGGUAGGGAGUAAGGCAGGGGAAUGUAGGAGAAAAAGCCUCCAGGCCUGACUGACUUGCCAUGGGACCAUGGAUCAACCAUUUAACCUCUUUCAGCUAAAUACCUCAUAGAGGUGUUGUGUAGACAAAAGGAAACAAUGGAUGUGCAUGUGUAGCUUGGAAAUACAAAGCCUAUUCAUACUGGGAAUAUUAAUAUCAUAGGCUAGUGCAGAGGACUAGCAGUUAAUCCGUUGGAUUUUCCUACUUAGAUCCCAUUGGCUUGAUGAGCUGUCUGGGCACCCUCACAGAAAACCUCACAAGGAAAACAAGGUCCCAGAUUUGGUCACCAGAAGAACAAGGUUGAGACUGACUCAGUGAAUGCCUUUCUUUGACUGCAAAACAGGACUGUAAUGCAGCUGGCUCUCCUGAAAUGUUGGCUUCUAGUUCCGAGGGUAUAGGAGGCCUAGGCAGCUGUACACUUGUGUCAUCCUGAUCAUCAUGAAGUCUGGUGGAAUUUAUAUGGACAGGACAGUAUGCAUUCCUUCAACCAAUACUUACUGAGCACCUAUUAUGUGCCAGGCACUGUGCUGGGCACUGGGAAUGAAAAAAUGAGUAGGGCAUGGUCCUUGCCUUCAAGGAGCUUAGAGUCUAAUGAGAGAAGCUAGCAGCAAACCAUCACUGCAAUCCAGUGGGACAAAGCCAUGAUAGUCACAUGUACAGAAUGCCAUGGCAGCAAAAAGGAAGAGUACUGAGGUGAUUUGCUCUGGAAGAGGCAGAGCCAGGUCAGGCCUCUGCUUAGAAAGUGGCUGGAAAUGGAGACACUUAAUCAUGUACUAGGUCUUUAUUUAUCCAUCAUUCAUUCAGCCAACAUAUCUUCUGAGAUUUUUUGGAGUAUUUAUAUAUUUAUUUAUUUAUUUUUGAGAUGGAGUCUCACUCUGUCGCCCAGGCUAGAGUGCAGUGGCAUGAUCUCAUCUCACUGCAACCUCCGCCUUCCGAGUUCAAGUGAUUCUCCUGCCUCAGCCUCGUGAGUAGCUAGGAUUACAGGCGCCUGCCACCACACCCUGCUAAUUUUUGCCUUUCAGUAGAGACGGGGUAUCACUAUAUUGGCCAGGCUAGUCUUAAACUCCUGACAUCAAGUGAUCCAUCCACCCGCCUCGGGCUCCCAAAGUGCUGAGAUUACAAGCAUGAGCCACCGCGCCCAGCCUGGAGUAUUUCUUACGGUGAAUUUACCUCCUCCUGCAUUACUGGUCUUGGUUAAUUUGGUUUUAUUUAAAGUUCCUCCUACUUAAUUUACUCUGGACCUGAGUAAGCAUACUUGGUGAUGUCCCGACCCUAGUGUAUACCCAGCUGUCAUGAUCUAUUUGGAUUUUAGAAUUCCGCCCCCCUCCUCUGACUCUCCAGCCCACAUUACACCACUUCUUUCUCUGUCUUUGCUCUAGCCACAUCAGUCUCCUUUCAAUUCCUCAAAUUGGCUGUACUUCCUUCCUCCAGCCACAGGACUCUUACACAUGCUGCUCUGCUGCCUGAAAUGCUGCCCCACAACCCCUUUUCAUUUAGUUAACUCCUACUCAUCCUCAUUUCUCCUGCAAUGUCCCUUCCUCCAGGAAGCCCUCCCUGACCACCUCCCCCAGAUCAGAUCAAACACCUUGCUAUACAUUUUCAUAGCACUCUGCUCUCUCCCUUCAUGACACAAUUCAACACUAUAUACUGGUAUAAUUAUUUGAUCAAUGUCUGGCUUUCCCAGUCCCUUGAAGGCAUCUUUGGGAGAGACAACAUUUCCAUUUUGCUCAUCACUGUAUUCCCACUGUCCAGCACAGCUAUUAGUCCAAGGAGCAGAUCUAUAUGUGGUUUUUGAGAUAAUUAAUUAAUGGAAUGAUUAACUAUCUUUUUUGGGCCACCAUUUGCCUUGGGCCUAAAUGGUUCUGUGUUCAAAACUAAAACAAUGCCAAAUGCAAAAAUAAGGACCAGAACCAAACAGGGAGCCCCUGUAAGAAAUGUGCAGAAAGAAGGUAAAAGCCAGGGGAGGGGUGUCCCAGACCAGAAGGCAUGAAGGACUAGAGGGUGAAGAAAGGAAAAAUGUAGAGGGAGAGAGGGAGAAUUCCAAGGCCCUGGUGUCUUACACCUCUCUGGGUUUUGAAAUCAAUAAAUAGGUAUUGAGUAUCUAUAACUCUGAUUCUCAGGGGUACUUGUGUUCCUUGGGUGUAAGAUAGUAUGCCAGGGAUACAAAAGAUGGGAUACAAUUAGUCCGUUUUCCUGCUGCUCCAGUGUUAUAAGUAGAACUUGAGGAGUAUGAGGUUGGGGAAGAAGAGGAUCAUUUUAUAUCGAAACCAAUACCAAUAUAGAGUCGAUAAUAAAUUUCGUAUGAUUACAAAAAUUCAUCUGAGAUUUUAAAUAUGUUAACGCUAUGACUUCAGUGGUAGUUCAGGAAGAGAGUCAGAGAACCAUGGGUACCUCCAAAGGAUCCUGUAUGAAUUGAAGUUUUGAAAAUCAAAUAAUAUUAGAAACACAUGGAGGACACACUCUUUAGAGACAGAACUCUUGCUCAUUUUUGUACCACCCACCAUUCCUAUAGUGCACAAUGCCCUGGGUGCACUAUAGUUGCACAUUAAAUGUUGAAUUGAAUCCAUAGCAAACAACUCACUCUUAGUUCGGUCUGUAAAUUGUGAGGAUUUGUGUGUGUGUGUGUAUGUGUGUGUGUGUGUGUGUGAGAUAGGGUCUCACGUUGUCACCCAGGCUGCAGUGCAGUGGUGUGAACACAGCUCACUGCAGCCUCAACCUCCCAAGCUCAAGCAAUCCUCCAGCCUCAGUCCCCCAAGUAGCUGAGAUUUCAGGUGUGUGCCACCACACCUGGCUAAUUUUUGUAUUUUUUUGUAGAGACGGAGUUUUGCCAUGUUGCUCAGGCUGGUCUCGAACUCCUGGGCUCAAGUGAUCCACCCGCUUCAGCCUCACAAAGUGUUGUAUUACAGGGAAGGUAGAAGGCCAAGGGCACAGAGACUUGUUGCCAGAGAAAUUAGAGGUUAUUAAGAAGAUGAAUUACACUGAUUGAAUUUUAAAGUUAAACCACCUUUGCAUCCCUGGAAUAAACUCUACUUAGUCAUGAUGUAUUAUCCUGUUUAUAUCUUGUUGAAUUCAACUUGCUAAAACUUUAUUUAGAAUUUUUUAUGCAUAUUCAUGCAGGAUAUUGUUCUGUACUUUUCUUAUAAUGUCUAUGUUUGAUUUUGGUAUUAUGGUAAUACUGGCCUCCUCUUCCAUUUUCUGGAAGGGUUUAGGUAGAAUUGGUAUUGCUUCAUCAUUAAAUAUUUGAUAAAGUUCACCAGAGAAGCCAUCUGGGCCUGGAGUCUUCUUUGUGGGAAGAUUUUUAACUGCAAAUUCAAUUUCUCUAAUAGAUAUAGGAAUAUUCAUGUUAUCUAUUACUUUUCAUGUGAGCUUUGGUACUUGUGUCUUUUAAGGAAAUUAUCCAUUUCACCUAAGUUAUUAAAUUUAUUGGUAUAACAUUA
RNAcentral lists this long non-coding RNA (3863 nucleotides) under Homo sapiens (human). RNAcentral's name for it is "HSALNT0377976". Lineage: Eukaryota; Metazoa; Chordata; Mammalia; Primates; Hominidae. The record is from RNAcentral.